Long non-coding RNA from Mauremys reevesii (Reeves's turtle), 727 nucleotides. RefSeq lists it as uncharacterized. The record is from RefSeq and is a predicted model, not a curated record. Lineage: Eukaryota; Metazoa; Chordata; Testudines; Geoemydidae. The transcript is spliced from 5 exons.
CUGAGGUCCAUACAACUAGACGCAUAGGAGUGGUCUGACUUCAACAAUAUUACUUCUGUCAGUAAAUACUUAUCAGCAUGAGCAACAGAUGGAUAUUGCACAAUGUAGCCCACGGUGGAAUCCCUGGUUCCUGGAGGCUGUCCAUACCACAGUAACCCUGUAGCUUAGAAACCAUCUCAGUGAAAAUCCCACCUUAACUGAUACGUGUCUGCAAGCAAUGUUGUUAUAGCUAUGUUGGUCCCAGGAUAUUAGAGAGAAAAGAAUUCAGUGCAAUAAAAGAGAUAUUACCUCACCCAUCUAUGGGCAUGUCUACACUAACAGCCGGACCGAUUGCUCUAGCAUCGACUCCAGUACUCCAUCUCAACCAGAAGUGCAAGGGGAAUCGACGGGACAGCAUCUCCUGUCAGCACACCUGAGUGAAGACACUGCAGUCCAGCUGAAACUCAAGAAAGAAUACUUAUUCCUGUGCAUAGAUUCUGAAGAUGAAUCAAGGCUGACAUCCAUGGAGAAUAACAAUUUCCAGUCUAAAGAUGAGGAAAGAGAGAGAUUGCUUCAAGAAAAAGUCCAACAAGUGACAGUGACAAGUUGGUUGGAAGAUUUGAAAGAGUAAGCAUGACUUCCUCUGAUGAUUCAUUGAAAAAUCACCUAGCACAUCACAGCUGAAGAGAAGACUACAAUGUAUAGUUCCUAAACUUCUUCCAGAAUUUUUACCACUACUAUUGCUGAA